UCAUACGGAGAAAGAACCAACAGGGAUGCCUCAGUACGGCGAGUGAGCGGCAACAGCUCAAAUUUUAAAUCUGACUCUCGGGUCCGAGUUGUAAUUUGCCAGAGGAUGUUUCGGGUAAGAUUAGGCCUAAGUUCCUUGGAACAGGACGUCACAGAGGGUGAGAAUCCCGUACGUGGCUGUUGAUCGCACCCAUGUGAAACUCCUUCGAUGAGUCGAGUUGUUUGGGAAUGCAGCUCAAAAUGGGUGGUAAAUUUCAUCUAAAGCUAAAUAUUGGCCGGAGACCGAUAGCGCACAAGUAGAGUGAUCGAAAGAUGAAAAGCACUUUGAAAAGAGAGUUAAAAAGCAUGUGAAAUUGUUGAAAGGGAAGCGCUUGCCGCCAGACUUGUGGGUAGGGUUCAGCCGUCGUUCUCGUCGGUGUAUUUCCCUACUUCCGGGCCAGCAUCAGUUCGGGCGGAAGGUUAAAGGUUUCGGGAAUGUGACUUCCUCCGGGUCGUUUUAUAGCCCGGGACAUAAUCCUUCCCGCCUGGACUGAGGAAUGCGUUUUCUAGGAUGCUGGCGUAAUGGUUGCAAGCGACCCGUCUUGAAACACGGACCAAGGAGUCUAACAUCUAUGCGAGUAUUUGGGUGUCAAACCCCUAUGCGCAAUGAAAGUGAACGGAGGUGGGAGCUUCGGCGCACCAUCGACCGAUCCUGAUGUCUUCGGAUGGAUUUGAGUAAGAGCAUAGCUGUUGGGACCCGAAAGGUAUGUAUUUAUCAUUUCUUUAAUCUGCUCCUUCCUCAGUUAAGAGUCCGUGCUAACAAUGUUGGAUAUAGAUGGUGAACUAUGCCUGAAUAGGGUGAAGCCAGAGGAAACUCUGGUGGAGGCUCGCAGCGGUUCUGACGUGCAAAUCGAUCGUCAAAUUUGGGUAUAGGGUAAGUUACAAGUAUUUAAUGUUAAUGAAAUGAACGGAUGGCUAACAGUUCAUUAU
Molecule: ribosomal RNA, 968 nt
Filed under: Sclerococcum chiangraiensis
Lineage: Eukaryota; Fungi; Ascomycota; Eurotiomycetes; Sclerococcales; Dactylosporaceae
Description: Dactylospora chiangraiensis partial large subunit ribosomal RNA
Rfam family: Eukaryotic large subunit ribosomal RNA
Source: RNAcentral